This 471-nucleotide ribosomal RNA is filed under the name Salmonella enterica. RNAcentral describes it as "bacterial SSU rRNA". It matches the Rfam family "Bacterial small subunit ribosomal RNA", at positions 1 to 468 of the family's 1533-position model. Lineage: Bacteria; Pseudomonadati; Pseudomonadota; Gammaproteobacteria; Enterobacterales; Enterobacteriaceae. The record is from RNAcentral.
AAAUUGAAGAGUUUGAUCAUGGCUCAGAUUGAACGCUGGCGGCAGGCCUAACACAUGCAAGUCGAACGGUAACAGGAAGCAGCUUGCUGCUUUGCUGACGAGUGGCGGACGGGUGAGUAAUGUCUGGGAAACUGCCUGAUGGAGGGGGAUAACUACUGGAAACGGUGGCUAAUACCGCAUAACGUCGCAAGACCAAAGAGGGGGACCUUCGGGCCUCUUGCUAUCAGAUGUGCCCAGAUGGGAUUAGCUUGUUGGUGAGGUAACGGCUCACCAAGGCGACGAUCCCUAGCUGGUCUGAGAGGAUGACCAGCCACACUGGAACUGAGACACGGUCCAGACUCCUACGGGAGGCAGCAGUGGGGAAUAUUGCACAAUGGGCGCAAGCCUGAUGCAGCCAUGCCGCGUGUAUGAAGAAGGCCUUCGGGUUGUAAAGUACUUUCAGCGGGGAGGAAGGUGUUGCGGUUAAUAACC